RNAcentral lists this ribosomal RNA (492 nucleotides) under uncultured bacterium. RNAcentral's name for it is "partial 16S ribosomal RNA". It matches the Rfam family "Bacterial small subunit ribosomal RNA", at positions 29 to 507 of the family's 1533-position model. The record is from RNAcentral.
AGUGAACGCUGGCGGUAGGCCUAACACAUGCAAGUCGAACGGCAGCACAGUAAGAGCUUGCUCUUACGGGUGGCGAGUGGCGGACGGGUGAGGAAUACAUCGGAAUCUACUUUUUCGUGGGGGAUAACGUAGGGAAACUUACGCUAAUACCGCAUACGACCUACGGGUGAAAGCAGGGGAUCUUCGGACCUUGCGCGAUUGAAUGAGCCGAUGUCGGAUUAGCUAGUUGGCGGGGUAAAGGCCCACCAAGGCGACGAUCCGUAGCUGGUCUGAGAGGAUGAUCAGCCACACUGGAACUGAGGCACGGUCCAGACUCCUACGGGAGGCAGCAGUGGGGAAUAUUGGACAAUGGGCGCAAGCCUGAUCCAGCCAUACCGCGUGGGUGAAGAAGGCCUUCGGGUUGUCAAGCCCUUUUGUUGGGAAAGAAAAGCAGCAGGUUAAUACCCCGCUGUUCUGACGGUACCCAAAGAAUAAGCACCGGCUAACUUCGUG